RNAcentral lists this ribosomal RNA (279 nucleotides) under uncultured bacterium. RNAcentral's name for it is "partial 16S ribosomal RNA". It matches the Rfam family "Bacterial small subunit ribosomal RNA", at positions 506 to 784 of the family's 1533-position model. The record is from RNAcentral.
UGCCAGCAGCCGCGGUAAUACGGAGGGUGCAAGCGUUGUCCGGAUUUAUUGGGUUUAAAGGGUCCGUAGGCGGGACAAUAAGUCAGAGGUGAAAGCCCACAGCUCAACUGUGGAACUGCCUUUGAUACUGUUGUUCUUGAAUUCGGUCGAAGUGGGCGGAAUAAGUAGUGUAGCGGUGAAAUGCAUAGAUAUUACUUAGAACACCGAUAGUGAAGACAGCUCACUAGACCUGGAUUGACGCUGAGGCGCGAAUGCGUGGGUAGCGAACGGGAUUAGAUA